AAGUCGUAACAAGGUCUCCGUUGGUGAACCAGCGGAGGGAUCAUUACCGAGUUUACAACUCCCAAACCCAUGUGAACAUACCUAUUGUUGCUUCGGCGGGAUUGCCCCGGGCGCCUCGUGUGCCCCGGAUCCGGCGCCCGCCUAGGAACUUUAACUCUUGUUUUAUUUUGAAUCUUCUGAGUAGUUUUUACAAAUAAAUAAAAACUUUCAACAACGGAUCUCUUGGUUCUGGCAUCGAUGAAGAACGCAGCGAAAUGCGAUAAGUAAUGUGAAUUGCAGAAUUCAGUGAAUCAUCGAAUCUUUGAACGCACAUUGCGCCCGCCAGUAUUCUGGCGGGCAUGCCUGUCUGAGCGUCAUUUCAACCCUCAUGCCCCUAGGGCGUGGUGUUGGGGAUCGGCCAAAGCCCGCGAGGGACGGCCGGCCCCUAAAUCUAGUGGCGGACCCGUCGUGGCCUCCUCUGCGAAGUAGUGAUAUUCCGCAUCGGAGAGCGACGAGCCCCUGCCGUUAAACCCCCAACUUUCCAAGGUUGACCUCAGAUCAGGUAGGAAUACCCGCUGAACUUAAGCAUAUCAAUAAGCGGAGGAAAAGAAACCAACAGGGAUUGCCCUAGUAACGGCGAGUGAAGCGGCAACAGCUCAAAUUUGAAAUCUGGCGCAAGCCCGAGUUGUAAUUUGUAGAGGAUGUUUCUGGCGACGUGCCUUCCGAGUUCCCUGGAACGGGACGCCAUAGAGGGUGAGAGCCCCGUACGGUUGGAUGCCUAGCCUCUGUGAAACUCCUUCGACGAGUCGAGUAGUUUGGGAAUGCUGCUCUAAAUGGGAGGUAUACGUCUUCUAAAGCUAAAUACCGGCCAGAGACCGAUAGCGCACAAGUAGAGUGAUCGAAAGAUGAAAAGCACUUUGAAAAGAGGGUUAAAAAGUACGUGAAAUUGUUGAAAGGGAAGCGUUCAUGACCAGACUUGAGCAGGUUGAUCAUCCGUGGUUCUCCGCGGUGCACUCUGCCUGCUCAGGCCAGCAUCAGUUCGUUCCGGGGGAUAAAGGCUCUGGGAAUGUGGCUCCCUCGGGAGUGUUAUAGCCCACUGCGUAAUACCCUGGGAUGGACUGAGGUUCGCGCUCUGCAAGGAUGCUGGCGUAAUGGUCAUCAACGACC
This 1146-nucleotide ribosomal RNA is filed under the name uncultured Bionectria. RNAcentral describes it as "eukaryotic LSU rRNA". The stretch from base 528 to 1146 matches the Rfam family "Eukaryotic large subunit ribosomal RNA", at positions 1 to 649 of the family's 3401-position model. The record is from RNAcentral. Lineage: Eukaryota; Fungi; Ascomycota; Sordariomycetes; Hypocreales; Bionectriaceae.